This 560-nucleotide ribosomal RNA is filed under the name uncultured bacterium. RNAcentral describes it as "bacterial SSU rRNA". It matches the Rfam family "Bacterial small subunit ribosomal RNA", at positions 359 to 917 of the family's 1533-position model. The record is from RNAcentral.
GGAUUGAAAUGGGCGCAGCCUGAUCCAGCCAUGCCGCGUGCGGGAAGAAGGCCUUCGGGUUGUAAACCGCUUUUGUCAGGGAAGAAAAGCGCCGGGCUAAUACCGCGGCGUGAUGACGGUACCUGAAGAAUAAGCACCGGCUAACUACGUGCCAGCAGCCGCGGUAAUACGUAGGGUGCAAGCGUUAAUCGGAAUUACUGGGCGUAAAGCGUGCGCAGGCGGCUUUGCAAGACAGAUGUGAAAUCCCCGGGCUUAACCUGGGAACUGCAUUUGUGACUGCAUGGCUGGAGUACGGUAGAGGGGGAUGGAAUUCCGCGUGUAGCAGUGAAAUGCGUAGAUAUGCGGAGGAACACCGAUGGCGAAGGCAGUCCCCUGGACCUGUACUGACGCUCAUGCACGAAAGCGUGGGGAGCAAACAGGAUUAGAUACCCUGGUAGUCCACGCCCUAAACGAUGUCAACUGGUUGUUGGACGGCUUGCUGUUCAGUAACGAAGCUAACGCGUGAAGUUGACCGCCUGGGGAGUACGGCCGCAAGGUUGAAACUCAAAAAAAUUGACGGA